CGCACAUUGCGCCCUUUGGUAUUCCUUAGGGCAUGCCUGUUCGAGCGUCAUUUAUCUCAAAGGCCCCCCGCUUUUGUGGGGGGGUUGUUGGGCGCAUGUCCCGCCAUAGGUGCGGACACGCCCUAAAUGCAUUGGCGGCCUUCGUCUUGGGCUAUCGAGCGCAGCAGACUCGCGCCUCUGGUCCAGUGCGUUGGCGUCCACGAAGCAAAUCACAUCUUGACCUCGGAUCAGGUAGGGAUACCCGCUGAACUUAA
This 254-nucleotide unclassified non-coding RNA is filed under the name Polyplosphaeria fusca. RNAcentral describes it as "partial contains 5.8S ribosomal RNA, internal transcribed spacer 2, and large subunit ribosomal RNA". The record is from RNAcentral. Lineage: Eukaryota; Fungi; Ascomycota; Dothideomycetes; Pleosporales; Tetraplosphaeriaceae.